GUCUCCAUCUAUGACACUGCUGCAACAAGUUCCCCCUCGACUUGUGUUUCACUUUUUAUCAGCCAAUGCAAGAUUGUGACAGAUUCAAUUCAUAUACAAGCUAGGAAUAGGAUCCUCUAAAUGAAGCAAGCCAGCCGGCAAUGGUCAAGUUAGGAGGAGAGCACGCCAUUCCCAUGUGAGGCAUUACAUUUCCUCAACCCACGUUCAAAGCAUCCGAAUGGAGUUCCCAUCGAAUUCACAAAUGGGAAAAGUGUCAAGUGCUGCGGCUAUACGCUAGGACGGACGGUGGCGCAUGUUUUGCAGAAACAGGAAGGCAGGAGACCGAUCAGACAAAGCAGCACGAGCCCGAGUGAGGCUGUUCUACGCAAAGAAAGGGUGGAGGGAUUCAUCGCCCCUUCUCAAAGGGAGUCUUAACAUUUUAUCUGACAGGACUGAAUUCAUGCAGCUUAUACAUCCAACGGUCACCAAUAUUUGUAUUGUACUGGAAUAAUAAUAAUAAUAAUAUCAAGAAAUUAUAAGCAUAAAUAUAAAAAUAAUAAAGAAUUGGGGGCAAAAAUGAAAAAUCUGGACGUACAGUAGAGUGGAAGAAUCAAUGGGGGAAUCCCUAGCUUCCUUCUGGACCAACCAAACCCAAACAACCAACUGAGUCAAGAGAGAACCCAGAAGGCAGCCUCCCUCCGAGUCACAAGUAUUCGAGUUGCAGCACCACCGCCCCAUAUCGCUGUCCUACCAUCGUCCUCCAGGCAGUACCCAACGCCAUCCAUCCAUCACUAUAAUUAAGCUCCCUCCCUCCCACAGUCUUCUACCUCCUUAACAACUAACUCUUCACUGCAUCUCGCACCCGAUUCCUUUCCCAUUCUGCUCUCUCACUUUCUAUACAUCCCUUCUAUCGUUUUGGAAUCAAAUCAAACCAUCAAUUCAAUCCUCUACUCCAUCUC
RNAcentral lists this long non-coding RNA (938 nucleotides) under Linum usitatissimum (flax). RNAcentral describes it as "long non-coding RNA (LUSI_LNC008174)". Lineage: Eukaryota; Viridiplantae; Streptophyta; Magnoliopsida; Malpighiales; Linaceae. The record is from RNAcentral.